Oncorhynchus tshawytscha (Chinook salmon) is the source of this 7574-nucleotide long non-coding RNA. Lineage: Eukaryota; Metazoa; Chordata; Actinopteri; Salmoniformes; Salmonidae. The record is from Ensembl.
UAGUUUUCUAAUGAUCAAUUAGCCUUUUCAAAUUAUGAACUUGGAUUAGCUAACACAACGGGCCAUUGGAACACAGGAGUGAUGGUUGCUGAUAAUGGGCCUCUGUACGCCUAUGUAGAUAUUCCAUUAACAAAAUCAACUGUUUCCAGCUACAAUAGUCAUUUACAACAUUAACAAUGUCUGCACUGUUUUUUUGAUCAAUUUGAUAUUUUAAUGGACAAAAACAUGUGCUUUUCUUUUAAAACAAGGACAUUUCUAAGUGACACAACUUUUGAACGGUAGUGUUAAUAAAAAGAAAAUGCAUAUAGGGGAAACACUGCCCGAGGAGAGUAUCCCAAUACCAGACGAGAAAAACACCUACCAUCAGGUGAUGUCUGGAGGAAAUUGGAUUCAAGUCAAUAUGGGGAACCUAGGGAAACACACUAAGCAUUUCUCAGCAAGCAAUCUCAAGGCUACUCUAUAACCCAGCCUUUUAGCCAGAUAAUGAACAUGGCAUUUUCUAAACCAGAAUGUAAGAGAAUAUAUUUAGUUUUUUCUUUCUUUUUCCCCAUUUCCUUUCUAACAAAUAUUUUCUUUGUUUCACACACAUGCUCCGACUCCCGAGCUAAGCCAAGGGCAAUCCUCCUGCUGUAAUGCAAUAAAGAAUAUAUAUUAAUAUAAUGUACUUUGAAAAAGUACAACUGUAUUAGUCUUGUUUAGGUCAGUUGUAUUUGAAUGUGCUAGCAUGCCACUUUGAAACUCAUGUACUGUAGGAAGGCUUUGUUAUUUUAUAAUAAUCAUAGACUGGUUUGAUCCCUGUGUACAUUCUUCCAUCCUAUUCUUCCCACCAGAGUACUGUAGUAAAGAGGGGACUGUCUUCAACUGUAGCUAACAAGGUUUCGUCUGUGGUGUUCUCGGUUACAAUACCUUCUAGAGCGUUCAAGGGUAUUCUGAAGGUUCUUCAUAUCAUUCAGUUGCCUUUUUACUAGCCUGGGUGCAUGUUUCUGCGUUCGACAUCAACAACGCACAAGCUGACUACGUCCGGGAUUCAAUCAGAUCACGCUUGUAGACAAUGCUGCUUUCAAAGGCAAUUUUACUGGGUUCGUGGAGAUCGCAUUUAAGGUAAACGCUGCGGAUGACGGCUCAAUUGGAAAUGACCAAAGUCAAGCGCGCUCACGCACCGUUUCGUGUUGAAUCCCGGCCUAAAAGCAGAAAGACUCACCCACCGGGCUACCUGUCUGUGUUGGGUGAUCAAAUCAGUAGAUCCAUUUGAACUUUUUUAUCCCUGAUAUACGACUUUCGCUGUGUCCGAAAUGGCACCCUUUGUACUACUUUCGACCUUGGCCCCAUAAUGUUCUGGUCAAAAGUAGGGCACUAUAGAGAAUAGGGUGCCAUUUGGGAAGCAGAUUGUCAUGAGUUGCCAUUGCCCAUGCAGCUUUUCAGUUUUUAUUUCUUUCUAUCCUGUGUAUUUAUACAUAUUUAUUUAUUGAUGCUUUUGUUAUAGCUGAUGUAUGUAUCAUGUGCUGUCAGACAAACUGUCAUGCUGCACAAACCGGCCUUUUCCAUCGUGCUUUCUGCUUCUGGUGAAUUACCUCUUCAGGGCCAGGAAUUUUUUCUGACCAUGUCAUCUGAUCGUGAGACCCAGAGUUGUUCCCUGGUUGGCUCACGUGGUCAGGAAAACCUUGCAUCCCAAGUCAUACUGUAUAUAUAAAUGGAUUUAUUUUAUCAUGUGUGCGCCACACCCGCUCUCUCUAUUUUGAUUGUUGGCUACAUGAAGGUCAAAUGCUAAGUUGACUAGGAGUCUGUUCUGGGCCUAAGAGAGCACAAAAACAUGGUGCCUAGGAUUAACACCUCGACUCAGGGCGCUCGCACACUUGUGCCCUUCAUAGGCUCCCUUUGAUUGGAGUGUACCACAGGAGGUUGGUGGCACCUUAAUUGGGGAGGACGGGCUCAUGGUAAUGGAUUGUGCAGAAUUGGUGGAAUGGUAUCAAAUAUGGUUUUCAUGUGUUUGAUUCCAUUUACACCAUUCUGGCCAUUAUUAUGAGCCGUCCUCGCCUCAGCAGCCUCCACUGGAGUGUAGGUACUUACUUUUUAAGUACAUUAUUUCAUAGGGUAGUUAGUAGUUACAUAAUCUGAUAAGAGAUGUGUGUGAGGAAGAUAUAAUGUAAAAACACUGAUCUAAUAUGUAUCCUAGAUAGGGUAGUCUGGUAAAUGAUUUUGUCUUGUUUUUUUGCUCAGAGACCACUUGAACUAAGCCAGUCAUUUUUUAUAAAUAGUAAACUUACAUCUGACUCUUAAUCAUUCAUACCAGGGCAGUUAACUGUUAACUCUUGUAUAUAUGGUGUAGCAUGCUAGCCGCUAAUUGUAGCCUAUCAGGUCCAGAAGGGGAAUCCAGGGCUGCCGUUGGAUCAGCCGAUGGCGUUGGGCCUGGGACUGCAGCGUAGUCGGCCGGUAUGUCCAGGACAGGGCCAGACGCUGUGCCGAGGUCAGGGCUAGUUCUUGAGGACUGCAGUUGAUGCUGGAACCAGAACAGGAUCGGGGUCAGCCGACUGCAGGUCCAGAGUACAUGGCGCUGGAGGCUCUGGUGCUGGAUGGGACACCAACUGGGACUCUUGCUGGAGAGUCGUCGUGGGCGUCAGGUCCAGGCCGAGCAGUUCUGCAAGGGCAGCAGGUAGUGUAGGGACCAGCACUGGAGUUGAGUCCGGUUAUGGCUGUCCCAGGAGUGACAGUAACUUUAGUGUUGGCUAGGGUGCUGGCUCAGGCACCGGUAGCUGCAGGUCUGGCUGGUUGUCUGCAGGUUGGAGCUCUGAUGCUUGCUGGACUGGCUGCAGCCCUGGCAAUGGCUUCACUGGCUCAGGUGCUGCUUGUGGUGGCGCCUCCUGGGGUGCAGGUUGGGUGCGGAGCUGGCUGCUGGAUGUGCUCAGGUUCCGAUGGUGACCGUUUGACUGUCCGAGUAACUAGCUUGGGAGCACUGGCUGGAGCACUUGUGACACUGGAGACCGCUAGAGUCCUGGUGGUAGUCUUGGCUGAGGAACUGGCGAGGGCACUGGCUGGAGCACUUCCUGGUGCACUAGUGACCACCGGACAUGUUGGAGUCCAGGUGGUGGCAGAACUGGCUGGCGUGCCGGUGGCCACUCUACAUGAGUAAGGGGGUGGCCCGACCGGUGGCCAUGGCACCCAAGCCAUUUGAGGCUGCUGCCCUGUCCUGGGCUCAGGAUGCAGUUGGUCGAUCCAUCGGUGCUCAGGGGCUUUAAAAAAAUAAAAUGUAACCUUUAUUUAACUAGGCAAGUCAGUUAAGACCAAAAUCUUAUUCACAAUGACGGCCUACUGGGGAGUGCAGGCUUUUGGGUGCUGCCAGUAGCCAGGCGGAGGUUGUGGAGCUAGUGGCUGCUGGACGGGCAGGACUCAGGACCGGCGCUGCGGGUUCUCUAUGCCCACAUAGUGCCUUGGGUUUGUCCUGAUGUUACCAUGCCACCCCUCGCAUCUACCUCCCGCAGUUUCUUGAUGACAGCAUCUGUAAUACGCUGGAGCCUCUUCCUUAUACACUGGAGUCUCCGGAGUUCCCGGUCCUCCUCUUCUUGCCGGUGUGUGUGCCUCGUCCUGGGUAUGGUAUGCAGCAUGAACUGCAUCCCUUCACUACUGGUCAUAGUCCAGGACAAUUGCACCUAUCCGGCUCGAAGGACCGUGAAAAAGAAGCGCACCAUUUGGUGGUCUCUGAAAGAGGUACCGGUUUAGAUUAUGGUACAACUUUCCCAGCACCCCGGUUAGAAGGCAUAAAGCUUCUAACCGGGAGCUCCGUGGACAAGCUCACAUACAUGGCAAACAAGAAGGGGAGAAAACUAAUGGAAGUGAUAAUGUAUAGUGGUUCAUUGUCAAAGACUCACUAACACCAGUUGGGAGGCAGUGUUGUCCAUGUGGAAAGGGUCCAGAUAUGAGUUGAGGUGGAGGACAUCAGUUUAGAGCCCUUCUCAACCUGCCCUCCUGGAAAGAACUGAAGAGUUGAGAGGCAGAGUGGGGUUCUGAUGCUUCCAGGCUAAGCCACUGAUUGGCUGACCAGGCCAGCUGACUCUGUUCCCUGGAAACCUGGUCCCUAGCACAUAGGUGUGAAGUGGCCUUCUGCAGCAGGACAAUAGAUGGGUUGGUUGUUUAGCAACAAAAUCGACGCGUGCGCAACUAUGGGUACAAACAGACAGGAUUGACUUAGGUUGUUGACAACAUGUAAACUAUAUUUUGUCGACUGUUUAUUGAAAACCUAAAUAAAUGUUGCACAAUGAGCACUCGUUACAGUUGUUGGUUAGUUACCAAGCUAAUUUUAGCCAUAUUAGCAUUGACAUGAAAUCAGUUAAAACACCUCAAAACAAGACAUGGUAUCAAGAACAAGAUGAAACUAGCUGAAACGAGUCACGAUUCCCCACGUGGCAGUUUCUUGUCAUUGUUUGUAGCUAUCUGGCCAUCCAGAAUCACAACCUCUCACAGACUUCAGCCCCAUUUGAAGCGUGUGCAUUUUCGUGACGUUGUCAGCUAGCCCAUCUAUAGACUCAGGCUACCAACCCUCAGCCUAUCUCAGCUGUAAGAAGUCAAAGUUUGUCUCCAAGUACCAGGGCCAGAGAGAGGUUUUGAAAUAUGUUUUUUUAACAGUAGCUGGGGUCAAAUGUAACACCUAAAAAAUAAACCAAAUUCACUAAACUUAAAAAAAAAAAAACAUGAAUGUUUAUGAAUUAUCAUAGACGCAUGUAAUGAUUUUGCAACAAAUGAGUAUUUUUAUGUACGUAACCAAUGAUUACAGUAUGUUUGAGCAUGGUGGCCAUUCAGUUCCUCUCGAAACAUCUGAAUAGUCUGAUGGUUCCCAGACGACUGUUUACAACUUCUUUGGUAUGCUACUGGACCCCAAGGCUAUUUAGUUAGUAUUUGUAUCAUGCUUGUAAAAAUCACUUGUUUUCAUAAUUUGGCUGCUUGGCUCAGGGUCAUUUUUAACACGACUUUACAAUUGCCAACCACCCUAGCAACCAUGACAAAACCUCAUGUGCCUGUCAAUAUUCAGCCAGUAUAUAGUGAUGAAAAUUAUGCUAGUUUGAAUUAUUGGACCGUAAAGGAAAAAUACAACCGAUUGGGGUGGGGGGGGAACUACAUUCACCCCUAAAAAAAGAAAGAAUAUUUGCCCAUAAAAUGUGCAAAGAGUGAGAUAUUUCGCUGUAACCUUUCAAGCAGGGAGAGAGACCAUGCACUGUGAGUUUCAUCACAGCAAGUUUGGAGAUAUGCAAGGUGUUACAAUUGACCCCCGUUACAACUGCCCCCAGUCUAUCCUACUGUUGUUGAAUGAGCCUAGUUUACGAGGGAAAACGGAUGUCUGAAGUCAGCAACUGAAUAUGUUGAUUUUUAUACACUACAGUAGAAUGCAUUUCAAUGCAUUGUUUUCAUUUUCCAUUUGAUAUUCAUUGCUUUAAAUAUAUGCAUGAAUAAGACCUUAUAGAUGCCCGGUCUUGGUCAUGAUAAUAUUGUUUCAGUUUGAGUAUGUAAUGUGAACUCAGUGGAGCAUGGGACUGCAGGUGUCGCUAGCGUUUUUUUCACCACACUGACCGACCUAGACACCUACUUACUUAACCCUCUUCUACGGCCCAGCUCCAGAUCUACCCCUAGGCACGUGUAGAUCUGAAAGGAUUGGAUCGGCAUAAGCAACACGGCGAUAAAAAUCCAUGUUGCUCACACCUAUCCAAUCUUUUAGAAAGUUCACAACCUUUUUUUCCAAAGUGUGAUUUAAAUGUUGUUGGGUUUUUUUUUGUCACAGAUCUGCACAAAAUACUCUGUCAAAGUGGAAGAAAAAUUAUUAUUUAAAAAAAAAGAAAAAGAAACCCUAUUAAAUCUUGAUUAGAUUCAACCCCCUGACUGUGAGUCUUUCUGGGUAAGUCUCUAAGAGCUUUCCACACCUGUAUUGUGCAUCGUUAGCCCAUGUUAUUAUUUUCAAAAUUCUUCAAGCUCUGUCAAAUUGGUUGUUGAUCAUUGCUAGAAAACCAUUUUCAGGUCAUGCCAUAUGCAGAUUUGAGCCAAAACUGUAACUCUGCCACUCAGGAACAUUCACUGUCUCCUUGGGACUCCCGAGUGGUGCAGCGGUCCAAGGCACUGCAUCUCAUCCCAUAGGGCGGCGCACAAUUGGCCCAGCGUCGUUUGUGUUUGGCCGGAGUAGGCUGUCAUUGUAGAUAAGAAUUUGUUCUUAUCCGAUUUGCCUAGUAAAAUUUCAAUAAGCAAUUCAUGUAGAUUUGGCCUUGUGUUUUAGGUUAUUGUCCUGCUGAAAGGUGAAUUCAUCUCCCAGUAUCUGGUGGAAAAGCAGACUGAAUCAGGUUUUCCUCUUGGAUUUUGCCUAAACUUAGCUCUGUUUCUUUUAUCCUGAAAAACGACCCAGUCCUUAACAAUCACAAGACUACCUAAUAAGAUGACGCAGCCACCACUAUGCUUGAAAAUAUGGAGAGUGGUUCUCAGUAAUGUGACGUGUUGGAUUUGCCCCACACAUAACGAGCUCUUUGUAUUCAGGACAAAAAGUGAAUUGCUUUGCCACAAUUUCUUUUAGAUGACUUUAGUGCCUUGUUGCAAAUAAUGCAUGUUUUGAAAUAUUUUUAUUCUGUAAAAACUUCCUUUUCACUCUGCCAAUAAGGUUAGUACUGUGGAGUAACUACAAUGUUGUUGAUCCAUGGUCAGUUUUUUUUUUUCCUAUUACAGCCGUUUAAACUCAAUUUUAAAGUCACCAUUGGCCUCAUGGUAAAAUACCUAGGUGGUUUCCUUCCUGUCCCGUAACAGAGUUAGAAAGGACGCCUGUAUGUUUGUAGUGACUGGGUGUAUUGCUACACCAUCCAAAGUGUAUUUAAAAACUUCCCCAUCCUCAAAGGGAUAUUCAAUGUCUUUUUUUUUCUGCAUCUACCAAUCUGUGCCCUUUGCGAGGCAUUGGAAUAUCUCCCUGGUCUUUGUGGUUGAAUCUGUGUUUUUUAAAAUUCACUGCUCCACUGAGGGACCUUUACAAUUAUCGGUAUGUGUGGGGUGCAGAGAUGAGGUAGUCAUUCAAAAAUCAUGUUAAACACUUAUUGCACACAGAGUGAGUCCAUGCAACUUAUGUGACUUAACCUAAUGUUUACUCCUGAACUUAUUUUGGCUUGCCAUAAAGGGGUUGAAUAGUUACCUCCAAGGCAUAUUUUAUUAAUUUGUGUGGGAAAGAAAUUAAAAACAUAAUUCACUAUGACAUUAUAAGUUGCGUGUAGGACAGUGAUGAAAAACAUCUCAAUUUAAUCAAUUAAAUUCAGUCUAACACAAAAUGUGGAACGAGUCUAGGGGUGUGAAUAUUUUCUGAAGACACUUCGUGAGGUGUUGAAGGUACAGGCUAUGGGUUGAUUGGGAUGGGAAUACACCAAUUUGGGUGAAGCAACCAAGGCUCUGGAACUCUGUCUGUGUUCAUACAAAUGCUUGAAGCUGAACCCUGUGUCGAUUGACUUGCUGUGAUUGAUUAUUUGUUGUACUUCACAAAUUUAUAUUUUGUAUAUAUUUUUUUUAAAGGUCUAAAUGUAAAAUGAUUUCAGUUUUUUUUGUUGCAAAAGUUGAUUUGUGAAUCGAAU